AUUGAACGCUGGCGGCGGCUUAACACAUGCAAGUCGAACGGUAGCAGGAGAAAGCUUGCUUUCUUGCUGACGAGUGGCGGACGGGUGAGUAAUGCUUGGGAAUCUGGCUUAUGGAGGGGGAUAACGACGGGAAACUGUCGCUAAUACCGCGUAUUAUCGGAAGAUGAAAGUGCGGGACUGAGAGGCCGCAUGCCAUAGGAUGAGCCCAAGUGGGAUUAGGUAGUUGGUGGGGUAAAUGCCUACCAAGCCUGCGAUCUCUAGCUGGUCUGAGAGGAUGACCAGCCACACUGGAACUGAGACACGGUCCAGACUCCUACGGGAGGCAGCAGUGGGGAAUAUUGCGCAAUGGGGGGAACCCUGACGCAGCCAUGCCGCGUGAAUGAAGAAGGCCUUAGGGUUGUAAAGUUCUUUCGGUAUUGAGGAAGGUUGAUGUGUUAAUAGCACAUCAAAUUGACGUUAAAUACAGAAGAAGCACCGGCUAACUCCGUGCCAGCAGCCGCGGUAAUACGGAGGGUGCGAGCGUUAAUCGGAAUAACUGGGCGUAAAGGGCACGCAGGCGGUUAUUUAAGUGAGGUGUGAAAGCCCCGGGCUUAACCUGGGAAUUGCAUUUCAGACUGGGUAACUAGAGUACUUUAGGGAGGGGUAGAAUUCCACGUGUAGCGGUGAAAUGCGUAGAGAUGUGGAGGAAUACCGAAGGCGAAGGCAGCCCCUUGGGAAUGUACUGACGCUCAUGUGCGAAGCGUGGGGAGCAAACAGG
This 757-nucleotide ribosomal RNA is filed under the name uncultured Haemophilus sp. RNAcentral describes it as "bacterial SSU rRNA". It matches the Rfam family "Bacterial small subunit ribosomal RNA", at positions 28 to 776 of the family's 1533-position model. Lineage: Bacteria; Pseudomonadati; Pseudomonadota; Gammaproteobacteria; Pasteurellales; Pasteurellaceae. The record is from RNAcentral.